RNAcentral lists this ribosomal RNA (449 nucleotides) under uncultured Leptolinea sp. Its description in RNAcentral is "bacterial SSU rRNA". It matches the Rfam family "Bacterial small subunit ribosomal RNA", at positions 920 to 1382 of the family's 1533-position model. Lineage: Bacteria; Bacillati; Chloroflexota; Anaerolineae; Anaerolineales; Anaerolineaceae. The record is from RNAcentral.
CCCGCACAAGCAGCGGAGCGUGUGGUUUAAUUCGAUGUUACACGAAGAACCUUACCAGGGUUUGACAUGCAAGUGGUAGGAAACCGAAAGGUGACCGACCCUUCGGGGAGCUUGCACAGGUGCUGCAUGGCUGUCGUCAGCUCGUGUCGUGAGAUGUUCGGUUAAGUCCGCUAACGAGCGCAACCCUCGCUGUGUGUUAUAUGUGUCACACGGGACUGCCGGUCUUAAGCCGGAGGAAGGUGGGGAUGAUGUCAAGUCAGCAUGGCCUUUAUAUCCUGGGCUACACACACGCUACAAUGGCCAACACAAUAGGUUGCUAAGCCGCGAGGUGGCGCCAAUCCAUAAAGUUGGUCUCAGUUCAGAUUGUAGGCUGCAACCCGCCUGCAUGAAGAUGGAGUUGCUAGUAACCGCAGGUCAGCUAUACUGCGGUGAAUACGUUCCCGGGGCUU